UGGGGAAUAUUGCACAAUGGGCGCAAGCCUGAUGCAGCCAUGCCGCGUGUAUGAAGAAGGCCUUCGGGUUGUAAAGUACUUUCAGCGGGGAGGAAGGCGAUAAGGUUAAUAACCUUGUCGAUUGACGUUACCCGCAGAAGAAGCACCGGCUAACUCCGUGCCAGCAGCCGCGGUAAUACGGAGGGUGCAAGCGUUAAUCGGAAUUACUGGGCGUAAAGCGCACGCAGGCGGUCUGUCAAGUCGGAUGCGAAAUCCCCGGGCUCAACCUGGGAACUGCAUUCGAAACUGGCAGGCUAGAGUCUUGUAGAGGGGGGUAGAAUUCCAGGUGUAGCGGUGAAAUGCGUAGAGAUCUGGAGGAAUACCGGUGGCGAAGGCGGCCCCCUGGACAAAGACUGACGCUCAGGUGCGAAAGCGUGGGGAGCAAACA
Molecule: ribosomal RNA, 427 nt
Filed under: uncultured bacterium
Lineage: Bacteria
Description: partial 16S ribosomal RNA
Rfam family: Bacterial small subunit ribosomal RNA
Source: RNAcentral